This is a non-coding RNA of Hippopotamus amphibius kiboko, 485 nucleotides long. The record is from the annotation of a RefSeq genome assembly. NCBI's taxonomy places the organism in Eukaryota, Metazoa, Chordata, Mammalia, Artiodactyla, Hippopotamidae.
CGUGCCUCAUGCCGCUCUCCAGCCUGCUCUGGGUGUUCCUGGCCUUCAUCUUCUCUGGAUCUGGUGUGGCCCAGAAAGUUAUUCAAAUCCAGCCAGGCAUAACCAGUCAAGUGGGGGAGGAAAUCACCCUGUACUGUCGGUAUGAAACAAGCUGGAGCAAUUACUACAUUUUUUGGUAUAAGCAACUUCUCAGUGGAGAGAUGACUUUCCUUAUUCGUCAGGUUUCUUCUGGGCAAAAUGCAAGGGCAGGCCGCUAUUCUAUAAACUUUCAGAAAGCAGAUAAAUCCAUCAGCCUCACCAUUUCAGCCUUACAGCUGGAAGAUUCUGCAAAGUACUUCUGUGCUCUCGUGGACCUCACAGUGCUUGAAGUAAUAGGAAACGCCAAACAAAAACCCCAGAGCUCAAUAAGAGAGAGACCUCCUGCUGUGGGAAUCAAGCUAAAAUGCACACCUGCAGACCCCAGACAAGAAAUGAUAGUCCUGUAG